RNAcentral lists this RNase P RNA (350 nucleotides) under Acidimicrobiaceae bacterium. Its description in RNAcentral is "RNase P RNA component class A". It matches the Rfam family "Bacterial RNase P class A". From Rfam's summary of the family: Ribonuclease P (RNase P) is a ubiquitous endoribonuclease, found in archaea, bacteria and eukarya as well as chloroplasts and mitochondria. Its best characterised activity is the generation of mature 5'-ends of tRNAs by cleaving the 5'-leader elements of precursor-tRNAs. The record is from RNAcentral. Lineage: Bacteria; Bacillati; Actinomycetota; Acidimicrobiia; Acidimicrobiales; Acidimicrobiaceae.
AGAGUCGGCUGGAUGGCCGCGGUUUGUUUUGCAAACUGAGGAAGGUCGGGACUCCACAGGGCGUAGGUGCUGGCUAACAGCCAGUCGAGGUGACUCGCAGGAAAGUGCCACAGAAAACAAACCGCCAGCCUCAAGAGACUGGUAAGGGUGAAAAGGUGCGGUAAGAGCGCACCAGCGUCUCGGGCGACCGAAACGGCUAGGUAAACCCCACUUGGAGCAAGAUCAAGCAGGAAGAAGGCGGCCCGUCUGCAGACACUUCCGGGUAGAUUGCAUAGAUGGAUGGUCAUCCAAAGAGGCUUUAAUCUCGAAGUCCUCCUAGACAGAAUCCCGCCUACAGGUCGACUCUACAC